GACGAACGCUGGCGGCGUGCUUAACACAUGCAAGUCGAACGAUGAAGCGGCCAGCUUGCUGGUGGUGGAUUAGUGGCGAACGGGUGAGUAACACGUGAGUAACCUGUCCUUCACUCUGGGAUAAGCCCUGGAAACGGGGUCUAAUACUAGAUAUUCUCAAUGUGCCGCAUGGUGUGUUGUGGAAAGAUUUUUUGGUGAGGGUUGGACUCGCGGCCUAUCAGCUUGUUGGUGGGGUAGUGGCCUACCAAGGCUUUGACGGGUAGCCGGCCUGAGAGGGUGACCGGCCACACUGGGACUGAGACACGGCCCAGACUCCUACGGGAGGCAGCAGUGGGGAAUAUUGGACAAUGGGCGGAAGCCUGAUCCAGCAACGCCGCGUGAGGGAUGACGGCCUUCGGGUUGUAAACCUCUUUCAUCUAUGACGAAGGCUCUGCUUUUUGGUGGGGUUGACGGUAAUGGGAGAAGAAGCACCGGCCAACUACGUGCCAGCCGCCGCAGUAACAC
RNAcentral lists this ribosomal RNA (504 nucleotides) under uncultured bacterium. RNAcentral's name for it is "bacterial SSU rRNA". It matches the Rfam family "Bacterial small subunit ribosomal RNA", at positions 28 to 526 of the family's 1533-position model. The record is from RNAcentral.